ACUCCCAAAACCUGAAAAGGACAGGACAGACUGGAUUCAUUUUUUGAAGGGCAGAGUCCCGGCUACAGUUAGCUCAUUGUAUGUGUUUGAUACUUCACGUCUGGAUUUGCAUCUUUGUUGAAGCUUAUACAUGCAAUUCUGUACGAAAAGCCACCAAAGGGGGAUGUAAUUGCUGCCUUAGUUCCCGCUUCGAUAAUGAGGCGGUCUGAGUCAGAUGUAUAGGCAGCCCCAGGUAAAUAAAAUAUUAAACUUGAAGUACAACAAUUUAAACACAACACAUGAAAGAUUUGGGUAGUGACCUUUUAAUGAACACCUCACAGGUUACAGAAUUUAUAGAAUGUAUAGAACAUAAUUGAAAGGGAACUCCGCCCAUAUCCCCAGCACCACUAGACAAAGCAUCUGUAUGCUAUGAAGCGGUCAGUCGUUACAGGUUUAGAUAUAAGACCUCCUUUGGUCAAUAUUGGCUUCAUUAACAUUGGUCUUUCUACUAUGCAAACAUGCCAUGAUUUUCUCCCCACAGCUGAGCGUCGAAUGAACUUCCUUGCUUCUAAGGGAAACACAUCCUGGCUAGUGGACAUGGGACAUGCCUUGUUCUCUGGAUACAUCCUGUCUACAAUUGCAAUCACCUGACCAUGUAGCGACCGCAUGGCCACCUGGUUCAGGGCUUGGGCCGCGUAAUCAAGUUACGACAUGGAUAACAGCACGGAGCUCUGGAACAAUAGCAAAACCAUGGACUUUGACAACAACAACAUUUAACAAACUCAUGAGGCAAAGGAACGUUUGAAGGAGGUCAUGCUCACGGGUGCCUGGAGGUGGAGGUGGAGGUUAUUUUCCACAGAUCAAAUCCGUGGACUCUGGGCAGUCAACACGAAUGGAGCAGUGUCUGACGGAGGAGGUGAAGGAAGUGGCAGAGAUUACAGCGAAGGGAGGAGUGAAGGCAGAGGGGUGUGUCUCGGUUGAGCAAUGGGGGACAAUAGAAAUCCCUGCAAAUUAGACGUUCCCCAGCCCUCAAUGGUUUAUCAGUUACUUGAGUCCAUAUAAAAUGGUGCUUUCUCAUUUUUGCAGUAGUCCUACAUAUAUAGUAGAAACUGUAAUCCUAUAACUAUCCAAUAUUUCUUUUUAUGAAAUCUAUUAUAUUGGAAACGUCUGGCCAUAAAAUAAUACAGGGUUUGUUGUUGUCAAAGUAUUUAACAUCACUGUUGUACAAAAAUAUCUUAUAGCUUAUAUUUAAAAAUCCUCAUGCAUAGCUUCAUUACAUCAUUCUGCAUCAAGCAACAAGCAACUUCAUAAAUAAAGGUAUUUGAAUAUAA
This is a long non-coding RNA of Gadus morhua (Atlantic cod), 1310 nucleotides long. RefSeq lists it as uncharacterized. The record is from RefSeq and is a predicted model, not a curated record. The transcript is spliced from 2 exons. NCBI's taxonomy places the organism in Eukaryota, Metazoa, Chordata, Actinopteri, Gadiformes, Gadidae.